RNAcentral lists this non-coding RNA (260 nucleotides) under Garciella nitratireducens. RNAcentral's name for it is "T-box sequence". It matches the Rfam family "T-box leader". From Rfam's summary of the family: Uncharged tRNA acts as the effector for transcription antitermination of genes in the T-box leader family. T-boxes are found upstream of many aminoacyl-tRNA synthetase genes and some amino acid biosynthetic genes usually in Gram-positive bacteria. Lineage: Bacteria; Bacillati; Bacillota; Clostridia; Eubacteriales; Eubacteriaceae. The record is from RNAcentral.
GAAAAAGCUAUGAAAAGAAGAGUAAGUAUAAGAAGUAGUUCAAGCGAGUUGGUGAGGGUGCAAGGCCAAUACGAAGCUUAUACUGAAGAACCUCUUGGAGUUUCUAACCGAAAUCUUUAGGAGAGAGUAGGCUUAGACGGGUACAAUCCGUUAUUUAUUGUACAACAUCGAAUGCUUUAUAAGUGUAUUCUGUGUUGGAAAAGUGAACGAUAGAAUCGUUAACUAGGGUGGUACCGCGAAGUAAACCUUUCGUCCCUUUA